UCCCUGUUAGCUCAAUUGGCAGAGCGGGUGGCUGUUAACCACUAGGUUGUAGGUUCAAGUCCUACACAGGGAGCCA
Molecule: transfer RNA, 76 nt
Filed under: Caldisericota bacterium
Lineage: Bacteria; Pseudomonadati; Caldisericota
Also listed under: 2 other names
Description: tRNA-Asn
Rfam family: tRNA
About the family: Transfer RNA (tRNA) molecules are approximately 80 nucleotides in length. Their secondary structure includes four short double-helical elements and three loops (D, anti-codon, and T loops). Further hydrogen bonds mediate the characteristic L-shaped molecular structure. tRNAs have two regions of fundamental functional importance: the anti-codon, which is responsible for specific mRNA codon recognition, and the 3' end, to which the tRNAs corresponding amino acid is attached (by aminoacyl-tRNA synthetases). tRNAs cope with the degeneracy of the genetic code in two manners: having more than one tRNA (with a specific anti-codon) for a particular amino acid; and 'wobble' base-pairing, i.e. permitting non-standard base-pairing at the 3rd anti-codon position.
Source: RNAcentral